UACGUAGGGUGCGAGCGUUGUCCGGAAUUAUUGGGCGUAAAGAGCUCGUAGGCGGUUUGUCGCGUCGGAUGUGAAAACCCAGGGCUCAACCCUGGGCCUGCAUUCGAUACGGGCAGACUAGAGUAUGGCAGGGGAGACUGGAAUUCCUGGUGUAGCGGUGAAAUGCGCAGAUAUCAGGAGGAACACCGGUGGCGAAGGCGGGUCUCUGGGCCAAAACUGACGCUGAGGAGCGAAAGCGUGGGGAGCGAACAGG
This 253-nucleotide ribosomal RNA is filed under the name uncultured bacterium. RNAcentral's name for it is "partial 16S ribosomal RNA". It matches the Rfam family "Bacterial small subunit ribosomal RNA", at positions 524 to 776 of the family's 1533-position model. The record is from RNAcentral.